GCCCGGUUAGCUCAGUUGGUAGAGCAUCAGGCUUUUACUCUGAGGGCCAUGGGUUCGAGUCCCAUCUAGGGCU
This 73-nucleotide transfer RNA is filed under the name Dendronephthya gigantea. RNAcentral describes it as "tRNA-Lys". It matches the Rfam family "tRNA". Rfam says of the family: Transfer RNA (tRNA) molecules are approximately 80 nucleotides in length. Their secondary structure includes four short double-helical elements and three loops (D, anti-codon, and T loops). Further hydrogen bonds mediate the characteristic L-shaped molecular structure. tRNAs have two regions of fundamental functional importance: the anti-codon, which is responsible for specific mRNA codon recognition, and the 3' end, to which the tRNAs corresponding amino acid is attached (by aminoacyl-tRNA synthetases). tRNAs cope with the degeneracy of the genetic code in two manners: having more than one tRNA (with a specific anti-codon) for a particular amino acid; and 'wobble' base-pairing, i.e. permitting non-standard base-pairing at the 3rd anti-codon position. Lineage: Eukaryota; Metazoa; Cnidaria; Anthozoa; Malacalcyonacea; Nephtheidae. The record is from RNAcentral.